Long non-coding RNA from Haliotis rufescens (red abalone), 352 nucleotides. RefSeq lists it as uncharacterized. The transcript is spliced from 3 exons. The record is from RefSeq and is a predicted model, not a curated record. Lineage: Eukaryota; Metazoa; Mollusca; Gastropoda; Lepetellida; Haliotidae.
GCUGAACAGCACGUGCAUGGCGGUGCAGUGGGCCCUCUCCUCGCUUGUCUGAUUGGUCAACAGUUCCAUGACCUGAAAUAUGGCGACUCAUUCUGGUUCGAAACAUCCCAUCCAAGAAAGGGCUUUACAUUAGGACAACUGUCUGAGAUCCGACGAAUGCGCUUUGCCAAAAUUCUUUGUAGGAAUUCAGGAGUGAAGUCCAUCCAAAGAGAUCCUUUUACAGUGUUCUCAAAAGAAAGCAAUCCUUUGAUACCCUGCAACGAUCUUCCAACAAUCGAUUUAACCAAAUGGCGGAGAUGAGAGGUUGCUUGGCCUACCCUUAAGUUCAACAAAUAAACCCCGAAGAUUUGAA